GAGAGCAUCCCAGGACCACUGAACAUUCAGAGGGCUGGAGGCAGAGAAAAACUUCCCCUACUCAAGAAAAAGAAGCUAUUUUUGUCAAGUUAAAUGAGCCUGAACCUGCAGAGCUGAAUUGGCAGAUGAAUAUUGCUAAUUGGUGCAGUUUCUUCGGUGCAGGAAAGAGUUUCCAAUCAGACCGGCAAUUCAUUGGCCACAUGAAGAUGCUGUGCUAGGGCCUGGGCAAAGCCAGACAAGAAGUGGUUCCUGCUAUCAGGCUGACUAACAUCUAUCAGAAAGAACAGAUCACGACUCAGCCUGCCUGCACCCAGGUGAAAUAAACAGCAUUUUUGCUCACACAUAGCCUGUUUGGUGGUCUCUUCACAUGGAUGCGCAUGAAAUUUGGUGCUGUGACUCGGAUCCGGAGACCUCCCUUGGGAGAUAAAAUCCCCUGUCCUCCUGCUCUUUGCUCCGUGAAAAAGAUCCACCUACGACCUCAAGUCCUCAGACCCACCAGCCCAAGGAACAUCUCACCAAUUUUAAAUCAGCAAAAUGACAUGAAUGACUGAAAAAGCAUGUGGAGCACAAGACUCAAGAACU
Molecule: long non-coding RNA, 582 nt
Filed under: Homo sapiens (human)
Lineage: Eukaryota; Metazoa; Chordata; Mammalia; Primates; Hominidae
Description: long intergenic non-protein coding RNA 836
Source: RNAcentral